AAAACAGUUACAUCAUCAGCAUAAGCUGAUAUGGAGAUUCCACGCAUGACAUUAAUUCCACUGAGAUCUCUUCUUAGCCUGCACAGCAAAGGCUCAAUAACAAGGCUAUAUAAUUGUCCAGACAGUGGACAGCCUUGCCUGAUCCCUUUUAACACAGGUAUUGGUGCACUCAAUCCUCCACCAGCUUUCACAAUCACAAACACUUCAGAAUAUAACAGUUGAAUAUAAGAUAUAAAAUUCUUUCCAAACCCAAAAUUUUUCAAAACCUCAUAAAGAUAUGUAUGAUUAACUCUAUCGAAAGCCUUCUCUUGGUCUAACGACAGAACACCCAGGUCAACAUUAUUAAAUUGAUUAAGAUCAAUGACAUCUCUUAACAAAAAAAGAUUGUCCAUAAUUGACCUAUUAGGAAUACAGUAUGUUUGAUCCCUGUGAACUAAUACUUCCAAAACAUGUUUCAACCUAUUUGCUAAACAUUUUGAAAUUAUUUUAUAGUCCAUGCACAAUAAAGAGACAGGUCUCCAGUUCUUUAGAAGGCACAAAUCCCCCUUUUUAGGGAGCAAGGAAAGGACUGCUCUUCGACAGCUUACAGGAAGUACCUUAUUCCUUACACUUUCCAAUAAAACUUCAUACAAGUCACUUCCAAGUACAUUCCAGAAUGUCUGAUAAAACUCUGCCGGCAAGCCAUCAAUUCCUGGUGAACGGCCAUUUGAUAACUGUCUCAUUGCCUCGGUGAUCUCCUGGAAAGUAAUCUGUCCAUCCAAGGAUUCCUUCUGUUCAUUUGUCAAUUUCGGUAGAUCACUCAGCAAAUCAGACAUACAUUCAAGAUCACAAGUCUCAACAUCAUACAGAUCCGUAUAGAAAUUGACUGCCAGUUUCCUUAUUUCCAAUGGGUCAGAGGUUAUGACCCCGUCAGGCCGCCGAAGAUGAUACAUUUGCUUUUGCUGCACACUUUUCUUUUCAAGAUUAAAAAAAUAUGAGGAAGGAGCAUCCAUGUCUUUAAUAGAACAAAUUCUUGCUCUUAUUAAUGCUCCUUUCACUUGUUCUUGUAAUAAUGAACCAAGUUCUUUCUUUUUAUUCAAAUGUUCAUUUUUUAUCCUUCCAUCAUCCUUAUUUAUCACAAGAAUAUUCUCCAAAGAUUGUAUAUCCCUUUGAAGUUUUUGUACCGCUGCUUUCACCAUGGAAGUAGAAUGUGAACUAUAAUUCUGACAAAAGGUUCUUAUGUUUGCUUUACCGACCUCCCACCACAUAAGCACGUUUUCAAAAGAAACCUUUUUUAACUUCCAGUCAUUCCAAAAGAAUAUAAAAUUCUCACAAAAAUAAAGCAACUGGUAAUAGUUUAGUAUUAAAAUGCCAAAAAUAGUUUGGUUUUUGAAGUUCUUUUCAUAUUCAAAGCAAACAAUAUCAAAUGGUGAUCUGAAAAACCAACGGGAAAAAUAGAAACCUCAGCUAUUUUAUUAUUCCAUUCUUUACCUAUAUAAAAUCUAUCUAAUCUAGCUCCGCUAACCCUAUUAUUAGAUGCUUUGAGCCAAGUAUACUGUUUGAUUCCCGUGUUUCUUCUUCUCCAAAUAUCUAUUAAAUCAAACUUUUUUAAAAUUUUUAACAAUACAACACUUGACUCAUGAUGGGGUUCUUCUCCAUUUCUAUCAAGAAUAAAAUCAAUAGUGCAAUUCCAGUCACCUCCAAUGAUUGUACAAACAUCGUCAUCAAUUUUUUGAAUAGCACUCCUCAAUUGUAAAAAAGACCUCACACGCUCAGGUCCAUUGUUGGAUGCAUAAACAUUUAUCAGUACAAAUACAGAUCCUUCAUAUUUGAUUUUUAACAACAAUAUUCUUCCUUUUACAAUUUCUUCAACAGCUAAAAUAUUAACAUUCAUUCCUUUAGCAAAUAAAAUGGCUAUGCCAGCACUUAUAUUUGUCCCAUGACUUAAAACACUCGUUCCUUCCCACCAUCUACUCCAUUCAGAUUCAUUGUCUACACUUGAGUGUGUUUCCUGUAAGAAAGCUACAUUAAUUUUUUUAAUACCAAAUAACUCCGAUACCAUUGCUAAUUUAUUACCAUCUCUACCCCCAUUAAUAUUUAAAGAGCCA
Molecule: long non-coding RNA, 2087 nt
Organism: Cyprinus carpio carpio
Lineage: Eukaryota; Metazoa; Chordata; Actinopteri; Cypriniformes; Cyprinidae
Source: Ensembl